This 253-nucleotide ribosomal RNA is filed under the name uncultured bacterium. Its description in RNAcentral is "partial 16S ribosomal RNA". It matches the Rfam family "Bacterial small subunit ribosomal RNA", at positions 524 to 776 of the family's 1533-position model. The record is from RNAcentral.
UACGUAGGGUGCAAGCGUUAAUCGGAAUUACUGGGCGUAAAGCGUGCGCAGGCGGUUAUGCAAGACAGCUGUGAAAUCCCCGGGCUUAACCUGGGAACCGCAUUUGUGACUGCAUAGCUGGAGUACGGUAGAGGGGGAUGGAAUUCCGCGUGUAGCAGUGAAAUGCGUAGAUAUGCGGAGGAACACCGAUGGCGAAGGCAGCCCCCUGGGCUAACACUGACGCUCAGGCACGAAAGCGUGGGGAGCAAACAGG